Molecule: long non-coding RNA, 4584 nt
Filed under: Homo sapiens (human)
Lineage: Eukaryota; Metazoa; Chordata; Mammalia; Primates; Hominidae
Description: HSALNT0131135
Source: RNAcentral
GAGACAGACGCUCCCAGGUGUUCUGUAUUCAGGUCACCUCUGGGUGCAGGGUGGCUGCUGCUCCCCUGGGCUCUGUGUCCCAGGUCCUGCGAUGCCUGACAAAGGCUGCAGCCAGAUCACUGGGGCACAUGCGAGGAGGAAACAGAAUGGACAGGCCGCAACAUGCCAAGCCACUAAAAGGAUUGACGCUUUAUUCUUCAGAGGAGAAAUACCAUUGUGGGGUCUACGGACCUCUAUCUAAGGCUUGUUAAAACAAAACAGAGAUGCUUAUGCUCUGGAAAGACGCCCGGGAUCCACUGGGCAGAAUGGCAAAGGAAAGAUCCCCAGCACGGAGCUCAGACAGAUGUCCUCGGCGGAGCUGAGUGCGGGGGUACAGGGUGUGGGGGUGCAUCAGUUGUGCUCUGACAGGUGCACAGGGUCCCCUUUCCCUUUGGCACCUCGGCUGCCUGUGCUUCUGGACCAACUGCCUGUUGAGAAAGCCUCUCUGUGUCCAGAAGUGAACUAUGAAAGGCCCUGAGUGGAUGGACUAUAUGCAAGGCACAGGAAGGAGGCCAAGCCCUCAGGAGUGGCAUCCAUGUGCAUUUGGGGCAGAGUGACGACUGGAAAAGACUGACCACGGCCCAGGCUCCCUGCCUUUCAGCUGCCAGUCUGCUGGGAAGUCACUUCCAUGAGGGUGGGGAGAGGUGAUGGCUAUUGACACCCAAGUUACACCUACCAAUGACCCAGUGGCUUCGGGCCUCACAGGCAGUGAGUGGACAUCUAGGCACCUGGAAUGCACCUCUAGGGCUCUGUGCCCGGGCUCUGAACAAGGAGAGAAGCCGCCGGCCCUCCUCCUGACCACUUCACCUCCGGCAGGAGACUAAUGAUGCACCUAAGUUAAUUCACUCGACUCUGGGACUAUGAGGCAGUUCAUCCACACGCUCCAAACUCCAGCUUAUUGUAGGAGACCAGUGCCUCGAUCUCAUGAGGUCAUCUCGACGCCUCAGCUGUAACCCUUGGAGAACCUGUGGUCUCUGCUCCUCUGCCUGCUGACAUGAUCAUCCCAGGUGCAAAACAGGCAUCGGAAACAAGAGGUGAAUUCUCCCCAUAUGACAGGAAAUUGGUGCAAAUGACCAGAGCCCCCCACCUCUGAGAUACGGAGUCAGAGUCGGAGCUACAAUGACGGAUGACAUCAGCAUCAAUGUCAGCAUCCCCUCCAGCAUCACCACCGUCUACCAGCAACAGGUCUAGCACGAUGCCUCUUCAUGCAAAUGCAUACUUAUCGUUGGUUCCAACAAAGUCCCUGGCACAUGGAUGUGGAAUUCCUUGGGUCCUCCAGGCCCCAGAGCAUGUCUCUGUCCCAGCAUUGUCACAGUGAAGGACAGUCCUCCUGAGUACCUCUCUCUCCCUCCAACACAAGCCCCUCAAAAGCAUCGAUCUCAAGCACCCAGUUCGUUGCCUGGCAUACGGCAGCCACUCAGGAACUGAGCCGAACGCAUGAGGGAAAGAAGAGUCAUAACCUGUUUUAGGGAAAUGAAGUGCUGGUACAGUGGCUUCCUUGAAAUUGUCACGAAGCUACUGAGAAAGAAAUCAACCUGGCAGGGUUUUGCUUUCUCAGUAAGAUGAAUUGCAUUCUUCUUUGCAAAGUCUCAUAAUACAUUAUUUCAUGUGGGUUUAACUUGUGAUGAAGGAGAGGGCCAUAGAAGCCUAUGUAUUUUUGUAAAGAUUUGUCAGAAUCUCAAGCUAGCAGCUGACUAUACACAGCUCAGUUCCUACUGGUGCUCUAACUGACAGGACAAGAGAGGAACUUUCUGACAAUAAGUAAGGCCAGAGGAGGCGCAGAUGUGGGUUUGAUUCCUCAGUUACAUGAAUUGCAAAGAAACCCCGUGGUAUAUGAGUGGUUCCCAGGUCUCUGUAAGCUUUCUUGUCAUGAAAAGGAAAACUUGAUUAUGGCUAAUAAAAUGCUCCCACUCAUACUGAAUGGGAAAAUGUAUCUGGAUUGCCAAGUCUGAUUUCAAGAGAUUUUUUUUAAAAAGAAAUAAUGUUUGUAACAUUCAUAAACUGUCACGUCACCUGAAAUUGCUACUUGCUGGGAUGAGAAAAUAAAUUGCAGUAGAAAUUAGCACAAAAAUGCAAAGAUGAUGUGCAGAAAGUUUUCUUAAGAAGAAUCAACAUCCUUUCAGCAGCCUCCCUUUCUAAAACUUUUGCAAUAAAGAGUUUUUUUUCCCCUUUUUAAAUUUCUACCCAGCUCUGCCUAAAUUCUAGGUAACCCUACAUCAGUGGCCCCUGGAGUAGGGAGGGUCUCUACCACAGCACUGUGGCCUGUGUGGUCAACCGGUGAUUGAAGAUCUCAUCAAAGCCACUCCGAGCCUCAUGCAUCUGGCUCCUGACUGCUAUUGAAAGCCCUUGGUGGCAGGUGGCCUGGAGAGCUCUCCACAGUGGACGACUGGUCGUGGAUUGGUGUGGAUUCAUCCUGUGUGGUCUCUUUGUCUUUCCAGAUGGAGAGGUCUGUGGUCCUUUUUCUAAGGCAGGGCUGACGUUGGGGCAGGGUGGCUUCUGAGGGUGAAGGAGGGCACCCACUCACCGUGGGGAUGACACGGUCACCUGGGCGUGGACGGUGAGAGGCAAGAACAGAGUCCGUGGUAGAGAAUCCUGGAGAAGGUUCACAACUACAGCCAUGCUGCGAGAAUCGGUUCUGUGGCUGUCCAGCAAUAAUGGAUGUAAACAUCCAGUUCAUCUACCAAAGGGAUCUUAAGCCUGGUGAUAGAAUGAAGGAACUCAUACUUGAAACAUGAACUGGGCAGCAGCAGUUAUCUGAGGGGUAGAAAUGCAAAUGCUUCCUCUCCACAGGGCGUGCACGGUGUGUGCUUGGAGGUGGCUUUCAAAUGUGGACGUAUAGAUAGUAGAAAUAGGCUGUGAGCAGCAACCCUGCAAGCCAUCUGAUCAAAAUGAAGUACGAUUAAGGCCGGGACAACCCAGGAGGCAGGUUCAUGCCCUGAUACUUGGUGCAGGUGCUACCCUUUGCUUAGAACCAGUUGGAGCUUUCUGUGUGGCAAACUUCCUUUUCUUCAAGAAACCACCUUGCUGCGCUUCUUUGUUGGACCAAACUGCCCCCGGCAUGGCCCCCCAGUCCCCCGAGUGGCUUCUGCCUCCUGGCCUGGCCCCGGCUCUGCCUCUUCCUGGAACUUGUGGCAAUUAGUGGCUGAGCAGAGACCUUGUGAGAGCAAUCGAUAGACAGAGGAAGCCAGAUGGAAAGGAGGCUUUGUCGUUGCUGUUGGACAACAGUGCCGAGGAGAAGGGAAUGUUGCAGGUUUGUUUCCUGUUCCUUCUCCACGUGCUGUGUGCCAAGCACAGAAAGCCUCAGUGACCAGCUACUGAAUUAACCAGAAUAUGAAUGAGAAGAAUGACAUUGGAGAAACAGCAGUGUGGCAGUUGGGGCACGGGAAGCAGUCCUGACCCCACUCUUAACUAGCCAUGCGCAAGUCCUGGGCCCUGGCUUCCUCAACACUGAGGCAGCAAAAGCAGAUUCAACAGUCACCACAACCCCUGUCGUGGCAGCAUUCUCUUUUCCUCACAUGGACAGAUGCUCACGUCGGUGACGAAGGCACUGAGGUGCCAAAGAGCUUCCCAGAACAUCAAGGGAAGACUGACUGACAGCUGGUAGAAUAAGUGACAAAUAUCCCUUUUCUUGGAAGACAAUUUAUGCGUGCUGAAGUGGGAGAAAUGUAUUACUAUGAACGCUGUCUUACUCAACUCUGUUGCAUAGCUCAGAAUUCAGUACAGGUAGAUUUAAAAUAGUCUUACAUACAGAGCAGUUUAAAAAGUAUUGUGGAUUUCUGAGUGUCCAGGUUGGAUCCUUGACACUUAAGCACAUCCACUUCUGUUAUGGCUCCCUCUGGCUACAUAAGCUUUGGUGAUUUCUUAAUGACCAAGUGAGUAGCUUGUAAGCAAGGCUGAGAAACAGGAAGAAGUCCUCUUUGGCCAUCUGGUAUAUUGAUUCAAGUGAACACCACUCACUGGUCACCUGCGGACCAGAUGUGGCCUGCAGGUGUUUCAUUUCGCCAAAAGAAAUAUUUUUCAAAUUGUAAUGGGUUGUCAACAUUUAAAAAUCAUAUUUUUAUAUGGAAAUAUGGAUUUAGUACUUCUGCUGAAAUACUGGAAGAACUGGCAAUCUAACAAUUUCUGAAUGGCAAUGACUGACCAGAGCUGAGUCACAACGGUUCCUGUCAGAGACCGGGGGUUCUCUCCAGUGGCCUCCGUUAUAUGACACAAAGAGGGGUUCACUCAUUUCCAUUCCUUUCUGGCUGCAGUGGGCACCUGCGUUUGCCACCUUUCUCUUAAACAACAAGGAAUUGCUGAAGCAGAAAUGCACAGCCAGGGAAGCAGCUGAUUUUCUCUCAUCUUUUUCCUCCUCAUUAGCAUCAAUAAUUAAGUUUGGGACUGAUUCUUUUUAUGUCUUCAUAGCUAAAGUAAAAACUUUUGUUAGGAGCUAGUAGAUACUUCCCACCUCUUCUAAUUCAUUUUACUAAGCAUUAAGAUAACAUUCCUGGAUGGGCACGGUGGCUCCCACCUGUAAUCCCAGCACUCUGGGAGGCUGAGGCAGGU